CAGAGUUUGAUCCUGGCUCAGAGCGAACGCUGGCGGCAGGCCUAACACAUGCAAGUCGAACGAUCCUUCGGGAUAGUGGCGGACGGGUGAGUAACACGUGGGAAUAUGCCUUUUGGUUCGGGAUAACUGAGGGAAACUUCAGCUAAUACCGGAUAAGCCCUAAGGGGGAAAGAUUUAUCGCCGAAAGAGUAGCCCGCGUUGGAUUAGCUAGUUGGUGGGGUAAUGGCCCACCAAGGCUACGAUCCAUAGCUGGUCUGAGAGGAUGAUCAGCCACACUGGGACUGAGACACGGCCCAGACUCCUACGGGAGGCAGCAGUGGGGAAUCUUGCGCAAUGGGCGAAAGCCUGAUCCAGCAAUGCCGCGUGUGUGAAGAAGGCCUUCGGGUUGUAAAGCACUUUUGUCCGGAAAGAAAUGGCUCUGGUUAAUACCUGGGGUCGAUGACGGUACCGGAAGAAUAAGGACCGGCUAACUACGUGCCAGCAGCCCCGGUCAA
This 494-nucleotide ribosomal RNA is filed under the name uncultured bacterium. RNAcentral describes it as "bacterial SSU rRNA". It matches the Rfam family "Bacterial small subunit ribosomal RNA", at positions 8 to 524 of the family's 1533-position model. The record is from RNAcentral.